Molecule: ribosomal RNA, 432 nt
Filed under: uncultured Acidobacteriota bacterium
Lineage: Bacteria; Pseudomonadati; Acidobacteriota
Description: bacterial SSU rRNA
Rfam family: Bacterial small subunit ribosomal RNA
Source: RNAcentral
AACGCGAAGAACCUUACCNGGGCUCGAAAUGUAGUGGACCGGGGUGNAAACAUCCNUUCCCNCAAGGGCCGCUAUAUAGGUGCUGCAUGGCUGUCGUCAGCUCGUGUCGUGAGAUGUUGGGUUAAGUCCCGCAACGAGCGCAACCCUUAUUGUCAGUUGCCAUCAUUUAGUUGGGCACUCUGGCGAAACCGCCUCGGAUAACGGGGAGGAAGGUGGGGAUGACGUCAAGUCCUCAUGGCCUUUAUGUCCAGGGCUACACACGUGCUACAAUGGUCGGUACAAACCGUCGCAAACCUGCGAAGGGGAGCUAAUCGGAAAAAGCCGACCUCAGUUCGGAUUGGAGUCUGCAACUCGACUCCAUGAAGCUGGAAUCGCUAGUAAUCGCGGAUCAGAACGCCGCGGUGAAUACGUUCCCGGGUCUUGUACACACGC